RNAcentral lists this transfer RNA (72 nucleotides) under Diaphorina citri (Asian citrus psyllid). It matches the Rfam family "tRNA". Rfam says of the family: Transfer RNA (tRNA) molecules are approximately 80 nucleotides in length. Their secondary structure includes four short double-helical elements and three loops (D, anti-codon, and T loops). Lineage: Eukaryota; Metazoa; Arthropoda; Insecta; Hemiptera; Psyllidae. The record is from Rfam by way of RNAcentral.
GCUCCCAUGGCGUAGUGGUCACUGCGCUCGCCUUGCACGCGGGAGACCUGGGUUCGAUUCCCGGCGGGGCCA